GACGAACGCUGGCGGCGUGCUUAACACAUGCAAGUCGAGCGAGAGAAAUUCCUUCGGGAAGGACUCUAGCGGCGGACGGGUGAGGAACACGUGGGUAACCUGCCUCAUAGAGGGGAAUAGCCUUUCGAAAGGAAGAUUAAUACCGCAUAAGAUUGUAGUAUCGCAUGAUACAGCAAUUAAAGGAGUAAUCCGCUAUGAGAUGGACCCGCGUCGCAUUAGCUAGUUGGUGAGGUAACGGCUCACCAAGGCGACGAUGCGUAGCCGACCUGAGAGGGUGAUCGGCCACAUUGGGACUGAGACACGGCCCAGACUCCUACGGGAGGCAGCAGUGGGGAAUAUUGCACAAUGGGGGAAACCCUGAUGCAGCAACGCCGCGUGAGUGAUGACGGUCUUCGGAUUGUAAAACUCUGUCUUCAGGGACGAUAAUGACGGUACCUGAGGAGGAAGCCACGGCUAACUACGUGCCAGCCGCCGCGGUAA
This 480-nucleotide ribosomal RNA is filed under the name uncultured bacterium. RNAcentral's name for it is "partial 16S ribosomal RNA". It matches the Rfam family "Bacterial small subunit ribosomal RNA", at positions 28 to 523 of the family's 1533-position model. The record is from RNAcentral.